Non-coding RNA from Odocoileus virginianus texanus, 456 nucleotides. The record is from RefSeq and is a predicted model, not a curated record. Lineage: Eukaryota; Metazoa; Chordata; Mammalia; Artiodactyla; Cervidae.
GCCGGAGCAGCCCGGCCCCCUGGCCUUCGCCGCGCCGCCACCUCCAGGUUAACACCUCAUCCAUCAGAUCUGAUCCCAACCUCGACUGGCAUUCCAGGUUCCCCAGGCCACAAGACUUCCCCAGUCUGUACUGGGAUUGUCCAAAGCCCUGCGGGUUCUUCUGUGUUGAAACUGUUGCCUGGACAUCUCCUGAGAUGGUGCAGUUACCACCGACCUCCAGUUUAACUUCCCGAUAGAGGGCAACUUGCAUAUUUCUCCUAAGAACUUCGAAGAAGCUGGACAGCCUGUUUUCAGACUUAGAGAAAAGGGAAACCCAAGGUUGUUUCUUGAAAUGUGGUGACUUGGAAGAGUUGUUAUUAUUCUGGGGAUACUAAGCCUUUGUGAUACACACAUUUGAAAAUAUCUCCCGGAGACCUGAGCUAAGAUGGCAGAGGAAUAGGACGGGGAGACCACUUU